Molecule: long non-coding RNA, 1089 nt
Filed under: Coturnix japonica (Japanese quail)
Lineage: Eukaryota; Metazoa; Chordata; Aves; Galliformes; Phasianidae
Description: lncRNA (ENSCJPG00005012404.1)
Source: RNAcentral
GCACUUGUUAGUUUUUGCCAGUAUCACUUCAGUGAACUUGCUGGCAGCUUUUGGGCAUGAACAAGAAGCAGUAUGACAUGCAGACUUGUGUCUGCCUGCAUGAAUUUCACUUCUUUAAAUAAAAAAUCCAGUAAAUGAAAACUAUCCGGAUACGCUUGCGAUAAAUGAAAGGCUGACUCAAUGUCUGCUAUAGCCAUUAAUGAGCUUUUCCUACACUCCCUAAUCAUCUUGAUUGUCUUAUUGAAUGAAAUGUAUGACACAGGCCUUGUGUGGAAUCUCAAUCAGGCUCAAGCACUUGCUUCUGUUCUUCUUCGGGCCUUUCCUGGUCUUUUUUCCCUUGUUUUGCUGAGUCCUGAUGAACCCAAAUGCUGCCUGUUGGUGUUGAGAUAAGGAGAGCCACCCAUGCGGACCCAGGUGCUGUAGCCUCUCUUUUCUAAGAAGGCAGAUGAAUUCAUGAAGCAGAAAGCGAGCAGAGGUUUGCUCUCAGCUCUCUGCAGCUUCUGGGACCUGAGAACAGCAGUCCAUCAGUGCAGCAUGCUCUCCAAUGUCCUACUCAAAGACGGCACUCGACUGGGCAGUGAAGCACGGCAAUCUUGAGAUGGCAGAGAUGGUCGCCAAAGCAGGCGUCGAUGUCAAUGCUAAAUCCUCUUUCCACUCUUCAUUUAAUGGUGAAAAAUGUAACACGUACUCAAGAGCCACUAUGAAGCAGCCAGUCUGGGGGAAGCAGCUGAUGUGUAAUUCCGUAGCAGCCUUUGUGCCAUUCUAUCUCAAACCUCAUCCUUGGUGGAAGCUGGUAAUGCCGAAUACAGGAGGAGCUCCCUCAGCUCUGCGCUGGAGCACAGCAGAUACAAGAAGGGGAAGGUUGAACACCUCAGCCUUGAGUCAAGCACGGUUGGCAGCUUUUCAGCAGGAUCUUUCCAUGCAGCUGUGUUAAAGCUUUAACCAUCAGCACCCAGCCUUGUUUUUCGGUCUAAGCUCCACAAGGUUUGGUGCCUGAUGGUUGGUGUGCCAGGCAUGGGUACUCGAGCAGUGUGAAGAGCAGGAUUGACUCCAGGAAGUGGUGCAGAUGUUUGACAGCAAUGCCCAAAG